GACGAACGCUGGCGGCGUGCCUAACACAUGCAAGUCGAACGGAAAGGCCCUGCUUUUGUUGGGUGCUCGAGUGUCGAACGGGUGAGUAACACGUGUGUAACCUGCCCUUGACUUUGGGAUAACUUCAGGAAACUGGGGCUAAUACCGGAUAGGAGCUCCUGCUGCAUGGUGGGGGUUGGAAAGUUUCGGCGGUUGGGGAUGGACUCGCGGCUUAUCAUCUUGUUGGUGGGGUAGUGGCUUACCAAGGCUUUGACGGGUAGCCGGCCUGAGAGGGUGACCGGACACAUUGGGACUGAGAUACGGCCCAGAGUACUAGGGGAGGCAGGAGUGGGGAAUAUAGCACGAUGGGCGGAAGCCUGAUGCAGGAAAGCCGCGUGAGGGAUAUCGGCCUUCGGGUUGUAAACCGCUUUCGCCUGUGACGAAGCGUGAGUGACGGUAAUGGGUAAAGAAGCACCGGCUAACUACGUG
This 468-nucleotide ribosomal RNA is filed under the name uncultured bacterium. RNAcentral's name for it is "partial 16S ribosomal RNA". It matches the Rfam family "Bacterial small subunit ribosomal RNA", at positions 28 to 507 of the family's 1533-position model. The record is from RNAcentral.